RNAcentral lists this ribosomal RNA (115 nucleotides) under Danio rerio (zebrafish). The record is from RNAcentral. Lineage: Eukaryota; Metazoa; Chordata; Actinopteri; Cypriniformes; Danionidae.
GCCAGAAGCUAGCUCUCUGCAACUCUCACAUGGUCGCUCACUGAAGGUAAGCAGGGCUGAGGCUGGUCAGUACCUGAAUGUGAGACCACAUGGGAAGUCUAGAUUGCUGCCGGAA